Molecule: ribosomal RNA, 584 nt
Filed under: bacterium 4873K2-B1
Lineage: Bacteria
Description: bacterial SSU rRNA
Rfam family: Bacterial small subunit ribosomal RNA
Source: RNAcentral
AGCUUGCUUCUUUUGCUGACGAGCGGCGGACGGGUGAGUAAUGCCUGGGAAUAUACCCUGAUGUGGGGGAUAACUAUUGGAAACGAUAGCUAAUACCGCAUAAUCUCUUCGGAGCAAAGAGGGGGACCUUCGGGCCUCUCGCGUCAGGAUUAGCCCAGGUGGGAUUAGCUAGUUGGUGGGGUAAUGGCUCACCAAGGCGACGAUCCCUAGCUGGUCUGAGAGGAUGAUCAGCCACACUGGAACUGAGACACGGUCCAGACUCCUACGGGAGGCAGCAGUGGGGAAUAUUGCACAAUGGGGGAAACCCUGAUGCAGCCAUGCCGCGUGUAUGAAGAAGGCCUUCGGGUUGUAAAGUACUUUCAGUUGUGAGGAAGGCGUUGGAGUUAAUAGCUUCAGCGUUUGACGUUAGCAACAGAAGAAGCACCGGCUAACUCCGUGCCAGCAGCCGCGGUAAUACGGAGGGUGCGAGCGUUAAUCGGAAUUACUGGGCGUAAAGCGCAUGCAGGCGGUCUGUUAAGCAAGAUGUGAAAGCCCGGGGCUCAACCUCGGAACAGCAUUUUGAACUGGCAGACUAGAGUCUUGUA